This 1031-nucleotide long non-coding RNA is filed under the name Pan troglodytes (chimpanzee). RNAcentral's name for it is "long non-coding RNA NONPTRT006777". The record is from RNAcentral. Lineage: Eukaryota; Metazoa; Chordata; Mammalia; Primates; Hominidae.
GGGGGGCGAGGGGACGACCGGGGUCGAGGAGGCGCCCUCAGCGCUUGGGCUCAGUUAAGAUGGCGCGGGGAAGUGCUGGGAGCCGUCUCCGUCGCCGCCUCGGGGGAACCGGCCCGGGCCUCGGCCGCCUCUAGUCCUCACACAGCCGAGGCCCUCUCGGUCCCCCGCCGCGGCCCCUCGGCGGGCGGGCCCACGCGCAGCCCUCCGCCACCAACACCACCCCUGGUAAGGAGGCGCUCACAAAGGGAAGGGAGGCCGCGGGCCGGCCGGCGGACGGCGGGGCGGGGUCCCCCGGGGCCGGGAGGCCUCAGAUGUUCGCGAGUGCCUAGUGCUUUCGGCCCGCGAAGGGCGCAGGGCGAGCGGGACCCCUCCUCUCUCCUCAGGCAGGCGGCGGCACCGACUCAGUCUCUUUGCCACCCUCCCUCUCUCUCCCCGAGCCCUGAAGCCACAGAGCCCGGCCGCUGCCCAGCUUCCCCCCCUUUACCCGACACCACUCCCCUCCUCCCGACCGUCAUCCCCCGUCUCCGAUCUCGCGAGAUUUCCCGCCUGACAGGCCGGACCCUGCGCGAGACACGACUACAUGCGCGCGCGCGCGCCCUCACAGGAGCGCGCAAGGCUUGCUACGGGCAGAGUUGUCCCGGUGGCCCGGAGUCCCAGCCUCUGUCCAGCAUGGCCUCACUGAGUUCGCGGAGCUUCUAAUGCCACGCGGGCGUCAGGUGCAUUCAUUUCACCCCGGAGAUCUGAAGAAGAAGAGUUUUUCUGCACUCCCCUUCCUUCCUGCUUCCCACCUCCAAAGCCCGCCACUGAUCCUGCGAUGGCAAGAGGAAAAACAGCAAGUCCAACUCCACAGGUUUGUAAGGAGCAGCCAGCUUUGAUUUGCCCUGCACGUCAUAGCUCAGAAAGUUUUGCUGCUCAUACAAUCCUCAGCAAAGACCAUCCAUUCAUUCCGGGAUUCCCCCAGCUCAUGGACACAGGCCCCCCAGAUGGAAGAAAGGAGUGAAAUUCUGAUGUAUGAUACAAUGUGGAUGAAC